UUUUUUAUUGGAAAAUUAUUCAAAAAUUAUUCACAGUUCACAGCCAGACUUUUGCCGCUUUGGCUGAUUGGCUAGCGGAGAUGCCAUAUGAUGCCAUAUGCAUAUGCGGACGUUUUUAAUUGCAAAACUGAAAAUGGCAAUGCUGCACCUCGCGCGUUACUUUCAAAAUGGCUGCUGGCAUUGGUCGACACGACGAGAAUCGACAACAACUGAUAGAUCCCCACAGUAGUGAUCGUCCUGGUUUGUAAUGUGCCAGUUCUCGUGAAAUCUUGAGCUGAACGCCAAAUAUCAGGCUAGAUGCCUAGAUCUUUCUAAGGUAAGGCAAUUUGAUUUUUCGAAGAAAUUGUGCUUAUCGCGUGCUGUGGUUUGUUGGGUAAUUCAGCAUGCUAAAUGAUUCUUGACUCUAGAUUUUCGGGGUAUUUGGGAAAUGAGAACUACAGAAGCAGAUGUUUGAUAUAGGCCUAUUCACUUCAGCCUGCAUUUACUUAUUCAAAUGUCAAUUUUGGGGUAGUCAAUAGGUGUGUAAAAUUGUGUCCACCAGGUGGCGGAGUGUUUGUUCGUGAGUGAGUGACGGUGAGCGGUGACGAUUCCGCCAUUUGCUUUUUGAGACAGACGGAAAUGUAAAUGUGUUGCUGACGGUGUUUUUCGCUUUUACUUUGAAAAACCAUGAGGUAUUUCCACGCCAUUCGACCAAGCUGAAUUGAAAGUGAACAAUUCAAAAGCAAGUUACAUGUCGAAGAUCUUCUACCUUACUCCACGUUAUCGCUGCCAUGUCACGAAGAUGCGCUUUUCAGAGGGUCUCUACUAAAUUGCAAGACAAAAUGUGAUGAAAACACUCAGGAAAUCUGAUGUGGUUUUGCAGCCCUUUUCCAGUUGAGAGCUGCACUUGAAUGGAGCUUGUGCAGACUUGCAGUUGAACAUCAUACUUAAAUGUGUCAUUUGCCUAUGUUGGUGUCCAUGCAGUGUUGAACAGUUGGGUAAAAUAGUCAAUGUUGCCUGAUGGCUGUCGGGCUUAUUUUAUCGGCUUCGUUUUGUCGAAAUGUCGUCGCUUGCUACCUGUUCCGGCGUAUAGUUCAAUCGUUUGCCGCCUUUCCAUAGACUUGAUCCAUUGGUGAAACUGAGAUAAUUCAAGACUCGUCAAUAAAUUAUGUAGAUAGAAAUAAAUUACAAGUGCAUAUCUGGGCUCCCUUCUUCAGUGGCCCCGUUUCCCUAAAUAACCACUAACUAACGCCCGCCGGUGGUCACUCACUCGCUGCGACAACCAGGAGGAAGGGAGAUGUUUGGUCGAACGGGGACUUGCAAGGCGUAUGAUUCGAUGAAAUCUGUUGGAGGGUCAUGAGUCUAAGCCGGAAAUCUACUAUGACACACUGCUCUCAUAAUAACUGCUCCUCAGCUCUCUUCGCUCUUUUUCCGGUUUCUCUUAACCAUGGCCGGGUAAUCUCCCUGGUUGAGUCAGUCGGGCAGUGUCUCCCCUUGCUUGACUGGCAGCAGUUUGAACCGGACAGUCUGUUUAAUAAAUAAACUAUUUUUUUAUACGUCAAA
RNAcentral lists this long non-coding RNA (1542 nucleotides) under Daphnia pulicaria. RNAcentral's name for it is "uncharacterized LOC124343396, transcript variant X8". Lineage: Eukaryota; Metazoa; Arthropoda; Branchiopoda; Diplostraca; Daphniidae. The record is from RNAcentral.